GACGAACGCUGGCGGCGUGCCUAAUACAUGCAAGUCGAGCGGACCGGAUUGGGGCUUGCCUUGAUUCGGUCAGCGGCGGACGGGUGAGUAACACGUGGGCAACCUGCCCGCAAGACCGGGAUAACUCCGGGAAACCGGAGCUAAUACCGGAUAACACCGAAGACCGCAUGGUCUUCGGUUGAAAGGCGGCCUUGGGCUGUCACUUGCGGAUGGGCCCGCGGCGCAUUAGCUAGUUGGUGAGGUAACGGCUCACCAAGGCGACGAUGCGUAGCCGGCCUGAGAGGGGGACCGGCCACACUGGGACUGAGACACGGCCCAGACGCCUACGGGAGGCAGCAGUAGGGAAUCUUCCGCAAGGGGCGAAAGCCUGACGGAGCGACGCCGCGUGAGCGAAGAAGGCCGUCGGGUCGUAAAGCUCUGUUGUGAGGGACGAAGGAGCGUCGUUCGAAGAGGGCGGCGCGGUGACGGUACCUCACGAGAAAGCCCCGGCUAACUACGUG
This 500-nucleotide ribosomal RNA is filed under the name uncultured bacterium. RNAcentral's name for it is "partial 16S ribosomal RNA". It matches the Rfam family "Bacterial small subunit ribosomal RNA", at positions 28 to 507 of the family's 1533-position model. The record is from RNAcentral.